UCCUGCGCUGGUUCGUGAGUUUGCUGCGGUGACGUGGUGCAGCAGUGAGUGAAAUUUCGAAUCAUAAUCACAUAGGGAGUGUUCACUGGGGAAACGUCAGUGACGGUAUUUAUAUUAUUUGAAUUAUUACUUGAUAACGUGUCAACUUUUGCGUGUGUAUGUGUGUGUGUGUGUGUUGGUGGAGGAGCAGAGUCAGGUGGCGCUUGGCAAGGCGAGCGGCUGGCUGCAGUGUUUUGGCCGGCGCUGGUCAGUCUUGCCCCACACACUUUGGUAAUAAGUGUUUCCGUAUUCCCGGCUUCUUCUCCCUGUACCAAGCACCGCCACGCAUCCCCAGAGAGCCACAAGUACGUAAGUGUGCAGAGCUUGGAAUACCACACGGAGGGGGGUGAAGGAGCCUUGGGAAUCCCUGAAGGAGGGAGAGCGAAGGAGGGAGGCUUGGAGGUGAAGGAAAUGCAGAAAAUUCCUCUAAUAUUGAACGCUUCUCUGCUCAGACCAUCCUUCAUUGAAUAUUUGAGCUGAGGCUUCGAGAUACGAGUGUGCAGAGCUUGGGAUACCACACGGAGGGGGGUGAAGGAGCCUUGGGGAUGCCUGAAGGAGGGAGGCUUGGAGGUGAAGAAAAUGCAGAAAAUUCCUCUAAUACUGAAUGCUUCUCUGCUCAGACCUUCCUUCAUUGAAUAUUUGAGCUGAGGCUUCGAGAUACGAGUGUGCAGAGCUUGGAAUACCACACGGAGGGGGGUGAAGGAGCCUUGGGAAUCCCUGAAGGAGGGAGAGCGAAGGAGGGAGGCUUGGAGGUGAAGGAAAUGCAGAAAAUUCCUCUAAUAUUGAACGCUUCUCUGCUCAGACCACCCUUCAUUGAAUAUUUGAGCUGAGGCUUCGAGAUACGAGUGUGCAGAGCUUGGGAUACCACACGGAGGGGGGUGAAGGAGCCUUGGGGAUGCCUGAAGGAGGGAGGCUUGGAGGUGAAGGAAAUGCAGAAAAUUCCUCUAAUACUGAAUGCUUCUCUGCUCAGACCUUCCUUCAUUGAAUAUUUGAGCUGAGGCUUCGAGAUACGAGGGUGCAGAGCUUGGGAUACCACACGGAGGGGGUGAAGGAGCCUUGGGGAUGCCUGAAGUAGGGGCAGUGAAGGAGGGAGGCCUGGAGGUGAAGGAAAUGCAGAAAAUUCCUUCAAUACUGAGCGCUUCUCUGGUUAGACUUCACUGAAUAUUUCGACUGAGGCUUCGAGAUACGAGAUGAGAAUUAUUUUUUUAGUGUUUGAAGGCAGUUUUACGUGGUUAUAGGUGUUUUUAGGCUGCUUUAAUGUUGUUUUGAGUAUUUUAGGUUUGUUGAAGGAAGGAGAAAGCUUAAAUACAGUUAUAACGCCGAAAAAAGGCUUAAAUUGAGAGUUUUAAAGUCAGCCUAGCGUUUAUUAAAGUGUUUUAAGUAUUUUAAGUUACCAGAAGAGAGGAAGCUUAAAUUUAAUAUUACGAUAAGGAAAAAGCUUAUUUCAUGCGUUAGGAAGAAAGAAAAGGUUAACAUUAUUGACACUUUAUCAAUUUCUUUCGAUUUUAUAUUCAGUUUAUUUAUUGAUCGUUAUCUUUUAAUUUCAUUUCUUUAUUUUCUUUAUUUUUCGCUCGUUUUCAUAAUAGGAGUGUUUAAUUUUAUAUAUAUUUUUCAUUUUCUUUUCACUUCUUGGACUUAAUAUCCAGUUUAUUUAUUUAUUAUUACUUGUAAGUGUGUCUAAACACUUGCAAAGAUAAUUUAUUUAUUUAUUUAUUGAUUUUUAUUUUCAGUCAGUUUGUUUUUUUGUAAUGAAAACUUGUUAUUUGAUCUAUAUUCCCUUUUUCUGUUACUUGUUCGUGCCAGAGGUGACAAUAAACAUUAAAAUUA
Molecule: long non-coding RNA, 1866 nt
Organism: Scylla paramamosain (green mud crab)
Lineage: Eukaryota; Metazoa; Arthropoda; Malacostraca; Decapoda; Portunidae
Exons: 6
Source: RefSeq, a predicted model, not a curated record